Dipodomys ordii (Ord's kangaroo rat) is the source of this 99-nucleotide small nuclear RNA. The record is from Ensembl. NCBI's taxonomy places the organism in Eukaryota, Metazoa, Chordata, Mammalia, Rodentia, Heteromyidae.
GUACUUGUUUCUGCAGCAUAUAUACUAAUAUGAGAAGGAAGAUUAACAUGGUCCCUGAACAAGGAUGCUGUGCAAAUUUGUGAAAUAUUCCAUAUUUUU